Molecule: long non-coding RNA, 238 nt
Filed under: Mytilus galloprovincialis (Mediterranean mussel)
Lineage: Eukaryota; Metazoa; Mollusca; Bivalvia; Mytilida; Mytilidae
Source: RNAcentral
CUGCCCGCUAGACAUGUACACCUUACUAUCAUUCCAUACAACAAAUAUAGUAGACCUAUUGCAUAAAGUAUGAGAACAACAGACCAAAACACAAAAAUUCAACUAUAAACACUGAACCAUGAAAAUGAGGUCAAGGUCAGAUGACACCUGCCAGUUGGACAUGUACACCUUACAGUCCUUCUAUACACCGAAUAUACUAGCCCUAUUGCUUAUAGUAUCUGAGAUAUGGACUUGACCA